Molecule: long non-coding RNA, 484 nt
Filed under: Equus asinus (donkey)
Lineage: Eukaryota; Metazoa; Chordata; Mammalia; Perissodactyla; Equidae
Description: lncRNA (ENSEASG00005027367.1)
Source: RNAcentral
CCCCAUCCGUCUUCUCCAACCAAGGUUAGUUCUUGAUUCUUAAUACUCCCAAGCAUAAGGAGAAGCAAAAAUACCUUGUCCCUGUGUUGAGGGUAAGAGUCGAGUCUGAUUCACCUGUGGAACCCCAGCCCGGAGCAGGAGGAGCUCAGGAAAUGCGUGGAGGACGAAUGAAUGAAGAUGGCACAGACUCUGGAGCCCAGAAAGUCACCACCGCUCGCCCAGGACUUCUAGUGGGUAGGCAUCAAACUGCAAGUGCGAGAUUCUCUUUCUCAGUGAAGUGAAUUCAACGGUGACCAUGAGUCCUAAAGGCCAGGGGUACGGCGACAGCGACUUGGCAGUGGCAGGGCCACCAUCUUCCGUGUGGUCAUGGACGGAGAAGCUGAGGGAGGCGCGCCCGAUGAGGGGUGGGGGCAGACGGGCCUGUAGCCAGGCUCCUGACUGCUGCCUGCUCCUGACUCUUGGCUGUGGAUUUCUGAAAAUUGUC